RNAcentral lists this unclassified non-coding RNA (233 nucleotides) under Myrothecium sp. Its description in RNAcentral is "partial internal transcribed spacer region". The stretch from base 1 to 46 matches the Rfam family "Eukaryotic small subunit ribosomal RNA", at positions 1786 to 1831 of the family's 1831-position model. The record is from RNAcentral. RNAcentral also lists the same sequence under 1 other name. Lineage: Eukaryota; Fungi; Ascomycota; Sordariomycetes; Hypocreales; Stachybotryaceae.
AAGUCGUAACAAGGUCUCCGUUGGUGAACCAGCGGAGGGAUCAUUACCGAGUUAUCAACUCCCAAACCCAAUGUGAACAUACCCAUUGUUGCUUCGGCGGAACGCCCCGGCGCCCUCGCGGCCCGGACCCAGGCGCCCGCCGGAGACCCCAAACUCUUGUUUCCCCAGCGGCAUCUCCUCUGAGUGGUACAAACAAUGAAUAAAAACUUUCAACAACGGAUCUCUUGGUUCUG